GAUGAACGCUGGCGGCGUGCCUAAUACAUGCAAGUCGAGCGAACGGACGAGAAGCUUGCUUCUCUGAUGUUAGCGGCGGACGGGUGAGUAACACGUGGAUAACCUACCUAUAAGACUGGGAUAACUUCGGGAAACCGGAGCUAAUACCGGAUAAUAUUUUGAACCGCAUGGUUCAAAAGUGAAAGACGGUCUUGCUGUCACUUAUAGAUGGAUCCGCGCUGCAUUAGCUAGUUGGUAAGGUAACGGCUUACCAAGGCAACGAUGCAUAGCCGACCUGAGAGGGUGAUCGGCCACACUGGAACUGAGACACGGUCCAGACUCCUACGGGAGGCAGCAGUAGGGAAUCUUCCGCAAUGGGCGAAAGCCUGACGGAGCAACGCCGCGUGAGUGAUGAAGGUCUUCGGAUCGUAAAACUCUGUUAUUAGGGAAGAACAUAUGUGUAAGUAACUGUGCACAUCUUGACGGUACCUAAUCAGAAAGCCACGGCUAACUACGUGCCAGCAGCCGCGGUAAUACGUAGGUGGCAAGCGUUAUCCGGAAUUAUUGGGCGUAAGCGCGCGUAGGCGGUUUUUUAGUCUGAUGUGAAAGCCCACGGCUCAACCGUGGAGGGUCAUUGGAAACUGGAAAACUUGAGUGCAGAAGAGGAAAGUGGAAUUCCAUGUGUAGCGGUGAAAUGCGCAGGGAUAUGGAGGAACACCAGUGGCGAAGGCGACUUUCUGGUCUGUAACUGACGCUGAUGUGCGAAAGCGUGGGGAUCAAACAGGAUUAGAUACCCUGGUAGUCCACGCCGUAAACGAUGAGUGCUAAGUGUUAGGGGGUUUCCGCCCCUUAGUGCUGCAGCUAACGCAUUAAGCACUCCGCCUGGGGAGUACGACCGCAAGGUUGAAACUCAAAGGAAUUGACGGGGACCCGCACAAGCGGUGGAGCAUGUGGUUUAAUUCGAAGCAACGCGAAGAACCUUACCAAAUCUUGACAUCCUUUGACAACUCUAGAGAUAGAGCCUUCCCCUUCGGGGGACAAAGUGACAGGUGGUGCAUGGUUGUCGUCAGCUCGUGUCGUGAGAUGUUGGGUUAAGUCCCGCAACGAGCGCAACCCUUAAGCUUAGUUGCCAUCAUUAAGUUGGGCACUCUAAGUUGACUGCCGGUGACAAACCGGAGGAAGGUGGGGAUGACGUCAAAUCAUCAUGCCCCUUAUGAUUUGGGCUACACACGUGCUACAAUGGACAAUACAAAGGGCAGCGAAACCGCGAGGUCAAGCAAAUCCCAUAAAGUUGUUCUCAGUUCGGAUUGUAGUCUGCAACUCGACUACAUGAAGCUGGAAUCGCUAGUAAUCGUAGAUCCGCAUGCUACGGUGAAUACGUUCCCGGGUCU
RNAcentral lists this ribosomal RNA (1370 nucleotides) under uncultured bacterium. Its description in RNAcentral is "bacterial SSU rRNA". It matches the Rfam family "Bacterial small subunit ribosomal RNA", at positions 28 to 1381 of the family's 1533-position model. The record is from RNAcentral.